This is a long non-coding RNA of Ctenocephalides felis (cat flea), 299 nucleotides long. RefSeq lists it as uncharacterized. The record is from RefSeq and is a predicted model, not a curated record. The transcript has 3 exons. NCBI's taxonomy places the organism in Eukaryota, Metazoa, Arthropoda, Insecta, Siphonaptera, Pulicidae.
AAAAGAUAUUUUAAUGAAAAGUGCUAUUCUAUAGUUUUAAUUAAUAUUUGAUCACAAGAUAUACCUACUCGUUAAUAUAAAAUGAAAAUUCUAAUUUUAUUCUUAAUCAUUCUUUCUAUGUUUUACCUUGCGUCCUGUGAUGAGCGCAUGGUGAAUGGAAACGAAGUAGACAUUUCAACAUUUUAUUGGCAAUUGUCCUUUUCAAGUAAUUUUCAACAUUUUUGCGGUGCAGCAAUGAUCAGUAAGCGAUGGGCAAUAACAACCGCUUUUUGUGCUAAAAAAACGUCUAUCCAUGCAGC